This 461-nucleotide ribosomal RNA is filed under the name uncultured bacterium. RNAcentral describes it as "bacterial SSU rRNA". It matches the Rfam family "Bacterial small subunit ribosomal RNA", at positions 53 to 537 of the family's 1533-position model. The record is from RNAcentral.
AAAUGCAAGUCGAGCGGNGGAGCAAUCCCCAGCGGCGAACGGUCGCGUAACACGUAGGCAACCUGCCCCACAGACCGGGACAACACUUCGAAAGAGGUGCUAAUACCGGAUGCGGCCACCGGGAGACAUCUCUUGGUGAUUAAACCCCGCAAGGGGCUGUGGGAGGGGCCUGCGGCCUAUCAGCUAGAUGGUGGGGUGAUAGCCUACCAUGGCGACGACGGGUAGCUGGUCUGAGAGGAUGGUCAGCCGGACUGGGACUGAGAUACGGCCCAGACUCCUACGGGGGGCAGCAAUUAGGAAUCUUGCGCAAUGGGGGCAACCCUGACGCAGCGACGCCGCGUGGAGGAGGAAGGCCUUCGGGUUGUAAACUCCUUUUUUGUGGGAAGAAACAAAUGACGGUACCACAGGAAUAAGCCCCGGCUAACUCCGUGCCAGCAGCCGCGGUAAUACGGAGGGGGCGA